GUAGGUGAACCUGCGGAAGGAUCAUUAAACAUGCGAUGUUCUGGGGGGAAUACUUUAUAAUAUUGCUUAAGGCUCCACGUUCUGUGUGCUACGUCUCGAGAAUGGGGGAGUUACUUAUGUAGUAACAAAGCUACCCGCAAGCAUUGACUUUUGAGUGGUGUCUGUGUUUAGAACACCGACACAAGGUGUUAAGUCCAGCCUAGCUGGGCCAUCUUGUGAGCGUCAACACCACUCAUUGCACUUUUUGUGAACAAGUACCAACCCAAUUUUUAUUAUAGUCUGAUGUUAUUUUAUGUUCUUUAUUGAACAAAUUAAAUUUUUAAUAUUAAAUAACUUUUAACAAUGGAUCUCUUGGCUCUC
RNAcentral lists this unclassified non-coding RNA (360 nucleotides) under rhizosphere metagenome. RNAcentral describes it as "partial ribosomal RNA internal transcribed spacer region". The record is from RNAcentral.